GUGGCACGACUCACCAACACCCCUAGAGAUCCACUGGCAAAAUUUUUGCUUCCUGUUCCCAUGACAUUAUAUUUUGCUGGCCUAAAGGUCUUAGUUCCAGAGGGAGAAACACUGCCGCCAGGAGACACAACAACGAUUCCAUUCAAUUAGAAGUUAAGAUUGCCACUUGGACACUUUGGGCUUCUCCUACCUUGAAGUCAACAGGCUAAGAAGAGAGUUACUUGGCUGGGGCGAUUGACCCAGAUUAUCAAGAUGAAAUCAGUCUACUACUCCACAACUGAGGAAGCCAAGCCACACUGCUAACUGAUGAGAGACCAGCUUGAAAGAGGGAGGACCUGCCAAUUGCCAUCAGCACAACUCCAGAUAUAUGGGAGUCAGGUGAUCAUAAACCAUCCAUUUUCUGCUGAGUCACAGUAGACUGCAACUCCAUGAAUGAGACAAGGAGGUGUCGGUAAAAACAAAACAAAACAAAACAAAGCAAAAACUGCCUGGUGUAACCACAGAAUCUUAAGAAAUAAUAAAUGAUUUUAAUCCAA
Molecule: long non-coding RNA, 536 nt
Filed under: Homo sapiens (human)
Lineage: Eukaryota; Metazoa; Chordata; Mammalia; Primates; Hominidae
Description: long independently transcribed non-coding RNA 2501, transcript variant 2 (LINC02501)
Source: RNAcentral